AUGGCGCCACUCGUACUCAAGCGCCGCAAGGCAGCACCUUCCCCUUCCCCUCCCCUUUCGGAGGCUUCUUCCGACUCCGGCAGCGACUCCGACCUCAACCUCCACGACAACUCCGACCCAGAGGACGGCUUCUUCCCCGCAGGGAGCGCUGCCAAUGACGAUGACCAAGAUUUCUCUGCCAGCGACGAGGAGAUCGACCAUGACGAGGAGAGCGGCCAUGAAGAGGAGGAUGAUGGUGAGAUGGGGGAGCUCGAGGAGGAGUAUCGCACCCUCCAGGCCAGUCAACAAAGCAUUCUUCAGACAUUGAAACAGCACAGGGAUGAUGAUGCCUCGAGAGGCCAGGCAGUCAAAAACCAAAAGGCACUAUGGGAUAAGACCCUGGAAAUGAGAUUCUUGCUGCAAAAGGCAUUUACCACUUCAAACAAGCUUCCCAAGGAUUCCACCAAGUCAAGGUUCUGCAGUCACGAUCAGGAGAUAGAGCAAGCAUAUGUUGAUCUGUUGGAUUCAUCGAAACAGACUCUUGGCUCCAUGCUUGAGCUGCAGGAGGCUUUACUAGAGCGGAACCAGGCUGCAAAGGAUGUGAAAGUGACAGAUACUUUGCCUAAUUCAACUGGAGAGAAUGACGAGUGGUUGCAAAUGCAGAAAGUGCAGACAAGAAUAACCCUGUUCAGAAAUACUGAGAUAGAUAAAUGGCAGAGGAAAACACAGGUCACAACUGGCGCUGCUGCACUGAAAGGAAGGUUGCACGCAUUUAAUCAGAACAUAAGUGACCAAGUUGCUGGUUAUAUGAGGGACCCAAGCAGGAUGAUUAACAGGAUGUACCUGCGGAAAUCUGAUGUUGGUGUAUUUGGGGAGCCUGCUACUGCUGUGGAGGGCAAAGAUGUGGAAGGUGAUCCUGAACUCAUCGAUGAUUCUGAAUUUUAUCAUCAACUUCUCAAGGAGUUUCUCGAGUCAUGUGAUACGGGGGCAUCUGAAUCCGCAUUUUAUGCUCUGAGGAAGAAGCAGCACAAGAAGAGAAAACUUGUUGACCGCCGUGCUUCAAAGAGCAGAAAGAUAAGGUACAGUGUCCACGAGAAGAUUGCUAAUUUCAUGGCCCCGGUACCGAUGACAGUUCCUCCGAUGGCUUCAAAAUUGUUUGAGAAUUUAUUUGGAAUGGGCAACCAAAAGGCCCCUGCGGUCUGA
Molecule: ribosomal RNA, 1182 nt
Filed under: Triticum aestivum (bread wheat)
Lineage: Eukaryota; Viridiplantae; Streptophyta; Magnoliopsida; Poales; Poaceae
Description: partial small subunit ribosomal RNA
Source: RNAcentral